This 296-nucleotide small RNA is filed under the name Xanthomonas campestris pv. campestris. RNAcentral describes it as "ncRNA of unknown function". Lineage: Bacteria; Pseudomonadati; Pseudomonadota; Gammaproteobacteria; Lysobacterales; Lysobacteraceae. The record is from RNAcentral.
ACCAUUGCAGCGUCCGGUUUCCCUGCUCUUCUCUCCCCUUUUGCGCGGAUGCGAUUAGAUCGUUCUAAUGCAGUGGACGCCUAAGUAGCACAGCUCAUGCGCCAGCGCAUUCUGCCGCGCAGCAGCCCCGCGGCGUUGCAAGCGCCACGAUGGCGGCCGGGCUCGCCACGCCUGCACGCGGCAAGGUAGAGCCUGCCUGCCGCAGCAACUUGAUCGCAGCCCGCCAAACGCACUCGCCCGCAACCAGGCGCAAGCGGCUCACCGAACCCCUGCACUCUCUCCAUCAUUUGCAACCG